AACAUAUCUGCUUUAACUUUGAAAUCUUCAAAAUUUACGGUGAGCAUGCAUUUUAUAAUCAGAAGAUGUUAAUAGGCUAAUUUAAAUUUGUUAGAUUUUUUACCAUUUUUAAGAUUAUGUUUAAAAACCUAUAUGAGAGAACAUAUUUGGAGACAGGAACAAAAAUAUGGCUUGGAACAGAAACAGUAUGUGGCUAUAAGGGUUAAUGGCGGGGGGGUGGGGGCGGUGGUGGACAUAGAAUUGAGGAGAAGGAAAAAAGCAGAAUUUGUUCAAUGCACACAAGCAAUGAGAGUAAGGUGUGGUAUGCCCAAAAUGGAAAAGAGGCUAUUCAGAGUGGUCAGGGAGCUUACAGGAGCAUAAAGGAGAGUGAAACUUGGAGUCCAGGUAGCCUGAACUGUGCUUUUUCUGUGGCUAAGGGUGAGUGAUCAAGGUGUGAAGUCUACUAGUAGGCAUAGACCUCAGUUGAUCCUCAAAGAUGGUAUUGAGAGAGUGUUUAUCACUAACUUAGCCUUUGUGUUUCUCUUCACAGAAUUUCUUCAGGUUGAAUUACCUAGAAGUUUGUCACUGACUUGUGUUCCUGAACUAUGACACAUGAAUAUGUGGGCUAAGAAAUAGUUCCUCUUGAUAAAUAAACAAUUAACAAAUA
Molecule: small RNA, 646 nt
Filed under: Pongo abelii (Sumatran orangutan)
Lineage: Eukaryota; Metazoa; Chordata; Mammalia; Primates; Hominidae
Description: retained intron
Source: RNAcentral